AAUUGGGCAAUUAUGAGUGCAAUGUCAGUUAUCAAUCAAAUAAACACUUAGCAUUUAAAUUGAAAAGCGGUAACAUAUAGGCAGCUUAUAAAGCAAUAAAUAAAGAAAAGUCAACAUGUAAGUAAACAAAUAAGGGAAAAGAGACGAGGUAAAACAUGGUAAUAAACAAUUAAGGAAGAGGGAAGGGGUGAGACCUGGAAAAAAG
RNAcentral lists this unclassified non-coding RNA (205 nucleotides) under Hevea brasiliensis (rubber tree). Lineage: Eukaryota; Viridiplantae; Streptophyta; Magnoliopsida; Malpighiales; Euphorbiaceae. The record is from RNAcentral.